AGGGGUCAGAGUAUAUAUAUGUAUAGUGGUUGUUACUGAGUAGAAGGAGUUAGCAAACUUACAAGUUGUUCGCCUAACCGUUAUAAAAGCGAAAACUCGGCCUGGGAUCGAGGCUAGCUCCAACCACGAAAAUAUUACCCUGAAUAUUUUAAUUUGUCCCCCGAAAAUUACCCGCUAUACGGUAUACACCAAUAGUAUUAUAAUUAUCAUAAUUAUACUCUUGACUAGUGUGCUGUAUCAUUUAUCAAAUGAGGGAACUGAGGCAAUUUCGAAGGAGAUGUCUCCAAUGGGUGUUUUCAUUCUUUGCUCUAACCAUUCUGGCAAGUAUUGCUGGAGCUGGCUUAUCUCUAGGCCUUAAAUUGUUGGGCCCCGAGUCCAAUUUGGCUGUAGAAACUUCGAUUGAUUCUGAAAAUAAUCCUCUAACAAUAUCGAAUUUUCCAUACUUUUGCGAAGAAGUAACAGCAAUAUCGAAGUCCGGUGUACCCAAUACUACAAUGACACUAUACUUGGCGAACUCGCCUCACGAGUUCACUCGUGACCUAAAGUUUCAAUGUACCAUGGAAACUGUCAAGAAUGAAUCCUGUUCACUAAAUGUUCCACUUGAGUUUGACAAUAUCUUAUAUGGCAAAAUAGAUGGAAUCAAUAUAGUGGGAGGUCAUGUUUUGGCUGACCUCUCAAUAAGCUGUAUGACAAGAGUUUCGCUUUACACGGUGUUAUCUCUUGCCACAUUCACAUUUGUAAUUCUUAGUGGAGUAGUAUGCAUUUGCUGCUGUGCUUCUACCUGUUGUAGACCCAAAAAGUAUGAAGGCAAGAGUAACCUGUUUAUUUAUACACCCCUACUUGACACAGCUGAUCAUGGUCCUGAGGAUGAUCCACGUGAGCAUACUCUUAUGGUCAGCUCUGUGAAUACCCCUGAUGGUGUGGUACCUACACUGGAUCCCACUGAGCUAUCCAGCUCGUACAAAUACAGCUCAUUCAAGCCAGGAACAAAACCAGGCAGUUCAUUCAAAUCCUUAUCACCAAAGAAACAAAAAAGUCCCAAAGUGAAACGUAACUACGCCACCAUCAGUGGAACAUAUACGUUUCACACUUUCAAACCCGAGAAUUAAAGGGUGUUAUUUGGUGCACGUAUUAAUUUGUGUUAGCUUAUACCAGAGUCUCCGUAUGAUAAGAUAACUGCUUGUUUAGUACACAUUAUUUUAUGCUAAACAAAAUCUAAAGAAUGUAUUGUUUGACUUAA
Molecule: long non-coding RNA, 1240 nt
Organism: Halichondria panicea
Lineage: Eukaryota; Metazoa; Porifera; Demospongiae; Suberitida; Halichondriidae
Exons: 2
Source: RefSeq, a predicted model, not a curated record